Molecule: ribosomal RNA, 301 nt
Filed under: uncultured bacterium
Lineage: Bacteria
Description: partial 16S ribosomal RNA
Rfam family: Bacterial small subunit ribosomal RNA
Source: RNAcentral
CAGUAGCCGCGGUAAUACGUAGGGUGCGAGCGUUGUCCGGAAUUAUUGGGCGUAAAGAGCUUGUAGGCGGUCUGUCGCGUCUGCUGCGAAAACCCGAGGCUCAACCUCGGGCCUGCAGUGGGUACGGGCAGACUAGAGUGCGGUAGGGGAGAACGGAACUCCUAGUGUAGCGGUGGAAUGCGCAGAUAUCAGGAAGAACACCGAUGGCGAAGGCAGUUCUCUGGGCCGUAACUGACGCUGAGAAGCGAAAGCGUGGGGAGCGAACAGGAUUAGAUACCCCGGUAGUCCCUGUCUCUUAUAC